UACGGUGACAUCACGUUGAAAGACUGAUUCUCGUACGAUCACCGAAGUUAAGCAACGUCGAGCCUGGUCAGCACCUUGCUGGAUGACCAUUUGGGAAUACCAAGUGCUGUAAG
Non-coding RNA from Acanthosepion pharaonis, 113 nucleotides. NCBI's taxonomy places the organism in Eukaryota, Metazoa, Mollusca, Cephalopoda, Sepiida, Sepiidae. The record is from the annotation of a GenBank genome assembly.